AUUGAACGCUGGCGGCAUGCCUUACACAUGCAAGUCGAACGGUAACGGGCCUUCGGGUGCCGACGAGUGGCGAACGGGGGAGUAAUACAUCGGAACGUGCCCGAUCGUGGGGGAUAACGAGGCGAAAGCUUUGCUAAUACCGCAUACGAUCUACGGAUGAAAGCAGGGGACCGCAAGGCCUUGCGCGGGCGGAGCGGCCGAUGGCAGAUUAGGUAGUUGGUGGGGUAAAAGCUUACCAAGCCGACGAUCUGUAGCUGGUCUGAGAGGAUGAUCAGCCACACUGGGACUGAGACACGGCCCAGACUCCUACGGGAGGCAGCAGUGGGGAAUUUUGGACAAUGGGCGCAAGCCUGAUCCAGCCAUGCCGCGUGCAGGAUGAAGGCCUUCGGGUUGUAAACUGCUUUUGUACGGAACGAAAAGCCUUCUUUUAAUACAGGAGGGUCAUGACGGUACCGUAAGAAUAAGCACCGGCUAACUACGUG
This 482-nucleotide ribosomal RNA is filed under the name uncultured bacterium. RNAcentral's name for it is "partial 16S ribosomal RNA". It matches the Rfam family "Bacterial small subunit ribosomal RNA", at positions 30 to 507 of the family's 1533-position model. The record is from RNAcentral.